CCUACGGGUGGCUGCAGUCGAGAAUCAUUCACAAUGGGGGAAACCCUGAUGGUGCGACGCCGCGUGGGGGAAUGAAGGUCUUCGGAUUGUAAACCCCUGUCAUGUGGGAGCAAAUUAAAAAGAUAGUACCACAAGAGGAAGAGACGGCUAACUCUGUGCCAGCAGCCGCGGUAAUACAGAGGUCUCAAGCGUUGUUCGGAAUCACUGGGCGUAAGGCGUGCGUAGGCUGUUUCGUAAGUCGUGUGUGAAAGGCGCGGGCUCAACCCGCGGACGGCACAUGAUACUGCGAGACUAGAGUAAUGGAGGGGGAACCGGAAUUCUCGGUGUAGCAAUGAAAUGCGUAGAUAUCGAGAGGAACACUCGUGGCGAAGGCGGGUUCCUGGACAUUAACUGACGCUGAGGCACGAAGGCCAGGGGAGCGAAAGGGAUUAGAUACCCGGGUAGUC
This 446-nucleotide ribosomal RNA is filed under the name uncultured bacterium. Its description in RNAcentral is "partial 16S ribosomal RNA". It matches the Rfam family "Bacterial small subunit ribosomal RNA", at positions 338 to 795 of the family's 1533-position model. The record is from RNAcentral.